UGGGCUGGUGAUGGGGAAUAAAAUCACCCCAUUGCAGGUGAUGGAGCGGGAUAGUGGGGAUGCGGGUUGGGAGCCUGGGAGUAAAAACCUACCUCAUAUGCAUCCCUACUCGAGGGUGUGCCAUCUUAUUGACCUUUUCUAUACCUAUUUUUUUUGGGUCAGGCUGAUUGACAACUUGAUCAGCCUAGUGCUUGGAGACCAAC
This 203-nucleotide long non-coding RNA is filed under the name Elaeis guineensis (African oil palm). Its description in RNAcentral is "long non-coding RNA (EGUI_LNC000416)". The record is from RNAcentral. Lineage: Eukaryota; Viridiplantae; Streptophyta; Magnoliopsida; Arecales; Arecaceae.